GUGAGGAAUUUUCCGCAAUGGGCGAAAGCCUGACGGAGCAAUGCCGCGUGAAGGAUGAAGGCCUAUGGGUUGUAAACUUCUUUUCUUAGAGAAGAAUAUUGACGGUAUCUGAGGAAUAAGCAUCGGCUAACUUCGUGCCAGCAGCCGCGGUAAUACGAAGGUCCCAAGCGUUGUUCGGAAUCACUGGGCGUAAAGGGAGCGUAGGCGGCGUGGUAAGUCAGAUGUGAAAUCCCGGGGCUCAAACCCGGAACUGCAUCCGAUACUGCCAUGCUUGAGGGUUGGAGAGGUAGCUGGAAUUCUCGGUGUAGCAGUGAAAUGCGUGGAUAUCGAGAGGAACACUCGUGGCGAAGGCGAGCUACUGGACAACAUCUGACGCUGAGGCUCGAAGGCCAGGGGAGCAAAAGGGAUUAGAUACCCUGGUAGUCC
This 426-nucleotide ribosomal RNA is filed under the name uncultured bacterium. RNAcentral's name for it is "partial 16S ribosomal RNA". It matches the Rfam family "Bacterial small subunit ribosomal RNA", at positions 354 to 796 of the family's 1533-position model. The record is from RNAcentral.